Molecule: ribosomal RNA, 1480 nt
Filed under: uncultured archaeon
Lineage: Archaea
Description: bacterial SSU rRNA
Rfam family: Archaeal small subunit ribosomal RNA
Source: RNAcentral
UCCGGUUGAUCCUGCCGGAGGGAACCCCUAUCGGGCUCGGACUAAGUCAUGCAAGUCUGCCGAAGGCCCCCGCCUUCGGCGGCGAACGGCUCCGUAAUACGCGGUCAACCUACCCUGGGGAGGGGGAUAACCUCUGGAAACCGAGGCUAAUCCCCCAUAGGGACGAAGUGCUGAGAUGCCUUCGUCCCGAAAGUAGGCGGAGGGGUUAUGGCUCCGCCAAGGCCCCAGGAUGGGACCGCGGCCCAUCAGGUAGUAGGUGGGGUAACGGCCCACCUAGCCGAAGACGGGUACGGGCGGUGAGAGCCGGAGCCCGGAGAUGGCCACUGAGACAAGGGGCCAGGCCCUACGGGGCGCAGCAGACGCGAAAACUCCGCAAUGCGGGAAACCGCGACGGGGCGAGCCCGAGUGCCUCCCUAAUAGGGAGGCUGUCCCCGAGCCUAAACAGCUCGGGAUAGGAAGGGGAGGGUAAGGCUGGUGCCAGCCGCCGCGGUAAAACCAGCUCCCCGAGGGGUUCCCACGCAUACUGGGCCUAAAGCGUCCGUAGCCGGCCCUGUAAGUCCUCGGUUAAAUCCACUGGAAGACCAGUGGACUGCCGGGGAUACUGCAGGGCUAGGGACCGGGAGGGGCCGAGGGUAUUCCCGGGGGAGGGGUAAAAUCCGUAGAUCCCGGGAGGACCACCAGUGGCGAAGGCGCUCGGCUGGAACGGGUCCGACGGUGAGGGACGAAAGCUGGGGGAGCGAACCGGAUUAGAUACCCGGGUAGUCCCAGCCGUAAACGAUGCCGGCUAGGUGCUGGGCGGGGUUUUGGCCCCGUCCGGUGUCGAAGGGAAGCCGUUAAGCCGGCCGCCUGAGGAGUACGGCCGCAAGGCUGAAACUUGAAGGAAUUGACGGGGGGGCACCACAAGGGGUGAAUGCCUGCGGCUCAAUUGGACUCAACGCCGGAAAUCUUACCGGGGGCGACAGCAGGAUGAAGGUCAGGCUGAAGACCUUACCAGACGAGCUGAGGGGUGGUGCAUGGCCGUCGCCAGCUCGUGCCGUGAGGCGUCCUGUUAAGUCAGGCAACGAGCGAGACCCCCGCCCCUAGUUGCCAGCGGCAUCCUUCGGGAUGGCCGGGCAAACUAGGGGGACUGCCGGCGAGAAGCCGGAGGAAGGAGGGGGCCACGGCAGGUCAGUAUGCCCCUAAUCCCCCGGGCCGCACGCGGGCUGCAAUGGGCGGGACAGCGGGAUGCGACCCCGAGAGGGGGAGCAAAUCCCUAAAACCCGCCCGUAGUUGGGAUCGAGGGCUGCAACUCGCCCUCGUGAACCCGGAAUCCCUAGUAACCGCGCGUCUACAUCGCGCGGUGAAUACGUCCCUGCCCCUUGUACACACCGCCCGUCAACCUGCCCGAGUGGGGCUGGGGCGAGGUCUAGUCUUCUCCUUCGGGAGGAGGCUAGAUCGAGCCUUGGCUCCGCAAGGGCGGGUAAGUCGUAACAAGGUAGCC